RNAcentral lists this transfer RNA (73 nucleotides) under Bos taurus (domestic cattle). It matches the Rfam family "tRNA". Rfam says of the family: Transfer RNA (tRNA) molecules are approximately 80 nucleotides in length. Lineage: Eukaryota; Metazoa; Chordata; Mammalia; Artiodactyla; Bovidae. RNAcentral also lists the same sequence under 3 other names. The record is from Rfam by way of RNAcentral.
UCCCGGGUGGCCCAGUGGCUGAGACUCUGUGCUCCCAACACAGGGGUUCUGGGUUCAAUCCCUGGCCAGGGAA